AAAGUCGUAACAAGGUCUCCGUUGGUGAACCAGCGGAGGGAUCAUUACUGAGUUACCGCUCUACAACCCUUUGUGAACAUACCUUAACUGUUGCUUCGGCGGGCAGGAGGACAACCCCCCCUCGGGGGGGCGGUCCCCCUCCCGGCCGCGCCCUCACGGGCGUGGCGCCCGCCGGAGGAUACCAAACUCUAUUUUAACGACGUUUCUUCUGAGUGGCACAAGCAAAUAAUUAAAACUUUUAACAACGGAUCUCUUGGUUCUG
This 262-nucleotide unclassified non-coding RNA is filed under the name Ascomycota sp. RNAcentral's name for it is "partial contains small subunit ribosomal RNA, internal transcribed spacer 1, and 5.8S ribosomal RNA". The stretch from base 1 to 47 matches the Rfam family "Eukaryotic small subunit ribosomal RNA", at positions 1785 to 1831 of the family's 1831-position model. Lineage: Eukaryota; Fungi; Ascomycota. The record is from RNAcentral.